RNAcentral lists this ribosomal RNA (253 nucleotides) under uncultured bacterium. Its description in RNAcentral is "partial 16S ribosomal RNA". It matches the Rfam family "Bacterial small subunit ribosomal RNA", at positions 524 to 776 of the family's 1533-position model. The record is from RNAcentral.
UACGUAGGGGGCAAGCGUUGUCCGGAAUCAUUGGGCGUAAAGAGCGUGUAGGCGGCCAGAUAAGUCCGCUGUGAAAUCUCGAGGCUCAACUUCGAGCUGUCGGUGGAAACUGUCUGGCUAGAGUCCGGAAGAGGAGAAUGGAAUUCCUGGUGUAGCGGUGAAAUGCGCAGAUAUCAGGAAGAACACCUAUGGCGAAGGCAGCUCUCUGGGACGGUACUGACGCUGAGACGCGAAAGCGUGGGGAGCGAACAGG